This 322-nucleotide RNase P RNA is filed under the name Flavobacterium sp. RNAcentral describes it as "RNase P RNA component class A". It matches the Rfam family "Bacterial RNase P class A". From Rfam's summary of the family: Ribonuclease P (RNase P) is a ubiquitous endoribonuclease, found in archaea, bacteria and eukarya as well as chloroplasts and mitochondria. Its best characterised activity is the generation of mature 5'-ends of tRNAs by cleaving the 5'-leader elements of precursor-tRNAs. Lineage: Bacteria; Pseudomonadati; Bacteroidota; Flavobacteriia; Flavobacteriales; Flavobacteriaceae. The record is from RNAcentral.
ACUGCAGACCGCCUUAUCGCCGCCCGCCUAGGUGGGGGGAGGAAAGUCCGGACACCACAGAGAAGCAUAUCGGGUAACACCCGUCACCCGUCCCGAAGCUUCGGGACGAGGGAGGACAAGUGCAACAGAAAGUAUGUACAGGUAAUGCUGUAGUGAAACCAGGUAAACUCUAUGCGGUGAAAUUUCAAGUAUAUCGGCAUUUAAGGGCUUCUCGUCCGUUGUCGAAGGGUAGAAAGAUGGAUCCCGAUAGUAAUGUCGGGACUAGAUAAAUGAUAAGGGCGCUUCGGCGACUAAGAAUCCGGCUUAUAGGUCUGCUUUUUUU